UACGAAGGGGGCUAGCGUUGCUCGGAAUCACUGGGCGUAAAGCGCACGUAGGCGGAUUUCUAAGUCAGGGGUGAAAUCCUGGAGCUCAACUCCAGAACUGCCUUUGAUACUGGGAAUCUCGAGUCCGGGAGAGGUGAGUGGAACUGCGAGUGUAGAGGUGAAAUUCGUAGAUAUUCGCAAGAACACCAGUGGCGAAGGCGGCGCACUGGCCCGGUACUGACGCUGAGGUGCGAAAGCGUGGGGAGCAAACAGG
RNAcentral lists this ribosomal RNA (253 nucleotides) under uncultured bacterium. Its description in RNAcentral is "partial 16S ribosomal RNA". It matches the Rfam family "Bacterial small subunit ribosomal RNA", at positions 524 to 776 of the family's 1533-position model. The record is from RNAcentral.